Molecule: transfer RNA, 75 nt
Filed under: Methanocella paludicola SANAE
Lineage: Archaea; Methanobacteriati; Methanobacteriota; Methanomicrobia; Methanocellales; Methanocellaceae
Also listed under: 2 other names
Description: tRNA-Ile2 (CAT) (tRNA-Ile2-CAT-1-1)
Rfam family: tRNA
About the family: Transfer RNA (tRNA) molecules are approximately 80 nucleotides in length. Their secondary structure includes four short double-helical elements and three loops (D, anti-codon, and T loops).
Source: RNAcentral
GGGGGUGUAGCUUAGCCAGGUCAGAGCGUCCGGCUCAUAACCGGAAGGCCAUGGGUUCGAAUCCCUUUACCCCCA